UUAGUACUCCCUCCGUUCGGAAUUACUUGUCGCAGAAAUGGAUGUAUCUAGACGUAUUCUAGAUACAUCCAUUUCUGCGACAAGUAAUUCCGAACGGAGGGAGUAGAUA
Triticum aestivum (bread wheat) is the source of this 109-nucleotide non-coding RNA. Lineage: Eukaryota; Viridiplantae; Streptophyta; Magnoliopsida; Poales; Poaceae. The record is from Rfam.